UGCUGUCAGCACCAUGCAACUCUCUGCCCGGAAGUGUUACCCGGCGCCCCGGAAGUAGUCCGUUACAGUACCCGGAAGUGGUCAGUUGGCCCCCUGAGCGGAGCUCGCACACCCGGCAGGGGGCGGAGCCGGGGCCCCGCGGCUCUCAGCAACCGAACCCACAUCGUACGUUAACCCGGGAGGGACGUUGAGGGGCGGGGCCAGGCCACCUAGUUAGUAUCUCUCCCCCCCCCUCAACGUCACUGCUGCUAUGGCAACGGCGAGCGUCUACCGGGAGGGGGCGGGGUUAGACAGCUGGCACGGGCUGUGUGUCAAUAACGGAGAACAUGGCGGCCCGAGUACACCCAAUACACCGAGCGGGAACCGGGAACACUGACACUAAUACUGUGUGUAUGGAGAGAGAGGGAGAGACAGUACACAUAGUCUGUAACAUGGAUACACAGUGUAUAGUGCGCACUGACACU
Non-coding RNA from Pelobates cultripes (western spadefoot toad), 464 nucleotides. Lineage: Eukaryota; Metazoa; Chordata; Amphibia; Anura; Pelobatidae. The record is from the annotation of a GenBank genome assembly.